Malaclemys terrapin pileata is the source of this 3091-nucleotide long non-coding RNA. RefSeq lists it as uncharacterized. NCBI's taxonomy places the organism in Eukaryota, Metazoa, Chordata, Testudines, Emydidae. The record is from RefSeq and is a predicted model, not a curated record. The transcript has 3 exons.
AAGGGGAGGGACAGGGUGUGAGCGUGGUGGGGAUGACACUGGCGGUGUGAGCGUGGUGGGGAUGACACUGGCGUGUCGGGACACCAGGCGUUAGGGGGCGGGUAACACUCACAGGCGGUGCAUGAGGAUCUAGAUGGUGGGGUGCUUUGGGCCAGUGAUUCCUGCUAAUGUUUGCAGGCUGUCAGUGAUGGGGGAAUCGGAUCUGUGGAUGAGGAGCUAUGCUGCUCCCACCCUGGCCUGUGAGAGGUUUGCUUUGUGCUACUUUCUUUGUCCCGGUAACUGCGAAAUCAUUCUGCCCAUCUCAACGAUGUCAGAUUGCAGAGAGGGCUGCAAUGGGGGUGGGAGGCUUUGGCUCCGUGCCCACAGCCUUGGGGUUUCUCUCUGUGGGUGUUUAGGGUUGCCAACCCUCCAGGAUUGGCCUGGAGUCUCCUAGAAUCGGCAUCAAUGUUUUGGUGACCAUUGAAAGCAACCCGGGAGAUUUUAAUAGGAUAUUUUAAGAAAAUGACAUAACAUCAUGUUGGAAAAAAAUAUCUCCCAGAAUAGCUUCAGUCAGAGUUGGCAACCCUAUGGGUGUUCAAUAAUUGUGUAGCUGAAUGGUAUUCCGUGGUGCUCAUCACAGUAGUUUCGGAGCCCCUCGAGUAUAUUAAUGCAUUUAUCUUCUAAGCCUCACCGCAUUGAGAUAGGGAGGAAUCAUUCUUAUUUUGCUGAUGGGGAAACUGUGGCACAAAGAAGUGGAAUGACCUUGGCCAAGGUCACACGGAGAUUCUGUGCAGAGCUGGGAACUGAGCCCGGAUUUUCUGUAUAUUGAUUGCAAGAUUGUCCUUCCAGUGGCUUGCUUGUAUUUUUUGUGUGUGUCGUCCUUUCUAUACCCCUGGACUAAUUCUCUUCGCUGUCCUCUGUCUUGCCACUCUGGCUUUGAAAGGUAAGUUAGAAAGGCUCUAAUGCAGGUGGGAUAUAAACCUGGAUAUUUUUCUUCGCAGAGAAGAAUGAUCAGCUCAAAAAUCAUAUGAUGUGAAAAUAACUUUUACAUCUGAUACCAGUUAUGAAACAUCCACUUUAUUUGUCUCUGUUUAUUUGUUGCUGUGUAUUUAAUUUAUGUUUCUCAGAGUAUACAAUAACAAUCAGUGACGUCAGUUACACUUGUCUAUAGUCAAUUUCAGCUUUGGGUUCCUAAUGCUGCAGUAUUUAAGGUACAAACAAUGCAGGAGAUUGUUUAACAGUUUGGAGAUCUUUUCUUAAAAAAAGGGAAGCACAUCUAUUGAUCUUGCAUGUCUAUGGAAGCUUUUAAAAUGUAUAGUUAAACUGUACUUUUGGCUAAGUUCAAAUUGACAUCUCAUUUAAAAGUAGAGAACUGUUAAAGGCACUCUGGAAUAUUUUGACUUGAAUAAUUUUUUUUUAAAGAUCUGCAAUUUGAUAUCGCCACGCUCUACUUUUUUUCAAAAUUUCCCAUACAAUAAUGCUUUUUUUUUGUUUGUUUGGGGUUUUUUUUACGAGUUUUUCUUCUCCUCUGCUGUUUAAAAGGGUCUUUCUAGUGAGGUUAAAACAGUCUGAUCAUACAGACAAACUGAAUAUAUACACAUUUCUGUCACCUGCACUAGGUAAAUACACUGGGGAAAUAAAACCUUUUUUCCUUCUAAUUUGUUUCAGUUAUAAUAACCUUAGGUGUUAUUUGUAACUUUGGGAGGUAGGUACGUUUCAGGCAGCACGCUGGUGUUGUCAUGUCGGUGUUACUUUUGAAAUAGAAAUGGCUCUCCUAGCCUUCGGUUACUGUAAAUGAACUGCUGAAGGCUUGAUGUCUGUGCUGCUGUUCUAGGUCCGGCAAGAUCUGAACGUGGUCACUGUGGAAUUUACUGAACUGAAGCAGCAGCUGGAGCGAGACUCGUUGGUUCUGAGUGUGCUGAAACAGCUGCAAGAGAGCCACUAGGAGCAAAGCAAGGGACAGGCUGAAGGAGCAGAGCCAUCCCCAGGGUGACAUGCCAGGCAAAGAAGAGUCCAGGACAAAUGUAUCCCCACUACGGAGCUCUGUCCCAGUUAAUAUGUAGUGACAGUGGCUCGGCAUGAGUUGAAAAGACGGAGGGAGCCGUCAAACCUGCCUGUUGCCAAGACCUCUAAGGAGGCAUCUCCAGCAGCCCAGCCCGCAGGAGGAGCCCAACCACUGGAUCAGAGAGGGAGCCUCGUGUUUCACCUCACCACACCCCAGUGCUAUUUAAAUAAAGUGGAACAGCUUCAACAGGCACCAUCGAGCAGCCCAGGACCCAAUGACUGGGGCACUCCCUAUGGGUGACAGACAGCAGGGGACGUCUCGUCCCUACCAUGGUGGUGCUGCCGCCGGCUCCAAAAGCCACCUCUCCUUUGUGCAGCGUGGCUGUGAGAGCCCCCGUGCAACGAGGAGAUGCGACCGCCGCAGGGAAGAUUUGCUGUGCUCCCCUGGACGCAGCCGCGACAGGCACGAGCGUAGCAGCAGAGUAUCGAACACGGCAGAGACUCUGCGGGGGGAGCAGAAAUGUUUCAACUAUCUGCAAAUUACUGAGACUGUUUGUGAGUAAAUAGAGCUCGAAGGGGUGCUGCAUUAGCCAGUCAAUAGCCCCUCGUUAGAUGUAGGGGUUACAUUGACAGCACAUGGCUAUGCUGUGUUAUUCACAUGACAGAUUCAUACAACACAUUGUACAGCCCUUCUACUAAGAGUCAUUACUGUUCUCUAAGUAGUUCACAUGUAUUAUUAUUGAAAUUAUAUCUACCAUGUGUGCUCUAGGCUUAUGUCUCUGGGCGAGCAGACAACAUCAUCAAUCUAUGUUUUAUAAUUAGAGGGUGGGGUCUUGUCAUCUGUGUAACUUAAUAAAAAUAGCAGACAGAAAGAACUUCUCAGAUCAGUUUAUUCUACAAAUAAUGACAAAUAUUUUGAUGCAUUAUAUGGUACAAACAAGCUCUUACUGUCGCGUGACUACAGACUUGCUUUAACCAAAGGUAAAAGAGUACAGGGACAUGCAUAAAACUGAUCACCUGGGGCUAAAUGUUUCCCAAACCUUCCAAAACAGUACGAUUUGUAUUGAGAAGACUGACGGUUUUGGUCAAAAUUAAACUAUGCAUCUGA